GAUGAACGCUGGCUACAGGCUUAACACAUGCCAGUCGAGGGGAAACGACGGGGAAGCUUGCUUCCCCGGGCGUCGACCGGCGCACGGGUGAGUAACGCGUAUCCAACCUGCCUCUGACUGAGGGAUAACCCGUCGAAAGUCGGCCUAAUACCUCAUGGCAUCGUCUGCGGGCAUCCAACGACGAUUAAAGAUUUCAUCGGUCAGAGAUGGGGAUGCGUCUGAUUAGCUUGUUGGCGGGGUAACGGCCCACCAAGGCGACGAUCAGUAGGGGUUCUGAGAGGAAGGUCCCCCACAUUGGAACUGAGACACGGUCCAAACGCCUACGGGAGGCAGCAGUGAGGAAUAUUGGUCAAUGGGCGAGAGCCUGAACCAGCCAAGUAGCGUGCAGGAUGACGGCCCUAUGGGUUGUAAACUGCUUUUAUGCGGGGAUAAAGUGAGGGACGUGUCCUUCAUUGAAGGUACCGAAUGAAUAAGGACCGGCUAAUUCCGUG
This 491-nucleotide ribosomal RNA is filed under the name uncultured bacterium. RNAcentral's name for it is "partial 16S ribosomal RNA". It matches the Rfam family "Bacterial small subunit ribosomal RNA", at positions 28 to 507 of the family's 1533-position model. The record is from RNAcentral.